CGAACUAGAAAUUCAUAUCUGCAGGCAAAUGUUCCAUAAUAAACAUAGCAUAUAAGUAUCUCCAUAUAACAACAAAAUAUCAAAAUUUUAUCACUACAUCCAAAAGGUUAAUGUUCUAACAACUUAGAAUUGUCUACAAAAAUCAAACUCUAUAAUUUAAAUUCUACAUUCCAAAGUCAUUAAUAUUACUCAUUGACAUUUGUACCAUCAUUUGAAUUGCUUCCACGAGUUCCAUUACCAACAGAAGGAUCAUCUUCAUCUAAAUCCAUUAAAUCCAAAUCUAUAUUUGCAUGUUUAGCAAAUACGGCAAACAUUUUAUUUGAAUAUCUAUUUGAUUUAGAUGUUGAGCCACGGGUGAGGAUGCGUCCAUCCAAACUAAGUCCAUAUACUAUACCCUUUGCAUUUCUUCCUCCAACAACUCAAUCAUUAGUGUAUCAUAAUCAAUUGGCUUCAGUUGAGUAGCAGCACUCUCAUUAUUACAAGACUCAGAAGGUUGAGGUUGAGACUCAACUUGUGAACAUAGAUUUACAAAGUUAUCCUAGGAAAAAAAUAAACAAAGAUAAACAUGUAAUGAAGUUAGAGACGCAUAACAAACAGAUAACAAAAAGAUAAGUAAUGCCCCAAAAGUACAAUAAACAUACACAUUAUAUACAAGACAAGAAAAGGGAACCAUACAAGCCUCCUCAAUCAAUAAUUACCCCAAGGCCAAAACAAAGACCACAACUCUACAAAUACAUCACAAUUGGUAAAACUAAGAUGGCAGCUUUAUCAAAGGCAUAUAUACGUGUUAAAGGCAUCUGAGAUAUGUUCAAUUGAAAGGUCUCACUUAAGCAUAAAAACCCCUUAGUAAAAUAAUUUUCAAGGAAACCAUUAUGUACAGGUAAUAACACUUUCUUCCUAGAUACACAUAAACAGGGGAACAAGUUUUAUUCAUCAAUCGACACUCAUGAAACAAACAAUUUUAUUCACCAAUUGACACUCGUGCAAGAACAGCAAGAACGGAAACACGGGACCAACUGUCAAAGCUAUCUCUAGACAUACAUGUGCAGCAAUCUUUUAUUCAUGAAACAAACAAUAUUAUCACAAGUAAAAUAUAGCUUACCAAUUCAAGUUCAUGUUUUAAUUGAUUCUUUGACCCUUGGGUGUGCAAUGAACCUCCAUCCCUGGACAGCAAAAAAUGCAGGCUUACAGCAGAUAGCAAAAAACCAGAAAAACAGGGCUAAAGCAGCAAAAACACAAAUAGACCAUCACUAAUUAGCUAACUAUAUAUGUCUCAUUCAUGUUAGUUCCCAUUCAUUAGUUCGUGAUUCAUAUGGAAUGGGAAUUAACAUCAAGCUAAUUACACUAAUUAGCUAACUAUAUGUUAAUUUCUCUUGGUUGGUUUUGGAUUAACAUGGAAAUUACAUUAAUUAGCUAACUCUAUAAAACAAAUGCUCUCUAGUCCAAAUCUCUUAACCACAAUGGUUUGCCAUCUACCUAUCCUUAAAAUCAUGCCCUAACACAACCAUUACUACAUGAGAAUUAUAUAAUCCAUUGUAUUGUGAACCUAAUUUCAAUUAAAAAUAUAUCUAAUCAGUUAUGAAACAGAAAGAAUCAUAUCAAAGGGAAAUAUAUUGAAUAAAAUCGUCAUAUAAAUUUAACAAACAAUCAAAUCCCAAAAUUGAAAUAGCAAGACAAGAGUUUCAAUAUAUAUAAACAAAUCUAAACAUCAACAUGACAUAAUAAUCAAGGAAGUGUGAACUACAUAUGCAUAUAAAGUGGGUAAAUAAGACUGAAUAAUAGAGUAAAAAUAACAAUGUGAAAAUGAUAACUAAAAAGAUAUUUACAUAGUCAAGGAUAACGAUGUGAGUUGUGAACUAACUAAAAGUGCCAAAUUAUUACUUCAACAGAUAAAGGGGUCGAUAAAUUUCAUGAAAUGGAGAAGACUGAGAAAGUGUCGGAGAAAAGGGGGUGAGAAAUUUCAUACCGAUUGAAAAGAGACGGUGGUAACUGGUGUUGAUAUGAGACGAGACGAGAGAGAGACGGUGGUGAAGAGAAGAGACGGUGGUGACUGUGUUGAGAGGAGAGACGAGAGAGACGGUGAUGCGGUGGUGACUGUGGUUAGGGUUCUUUCAUCUUGUGCGAUUUCUUUCUCUGCUUUUGAUAGUGCGUUAGUUCUUUCAAUUGAUUUUAGGGAUUUGCCUCAAAAGUCAAAAAUAUUAAACUUAAU
Molecule: long non-coding RNA, 2209 nt
Filed under: Trifolium pratense (red clover)
Lineage: Eukaryota; Viridiplantae; Streptophyta; Magnoliopsida; Fabales; Fabaceae
Description: long non-coding RNA (TPRA_LNC001078)
Source: RNAcentral